Molecule: ribosomal RNA, 472 nt
Filed under: uncultured bacterium
Lineage: Bacteria
Description: partial 16S ribosomal RNA
Rfam family: Bacterial small subunit ribosomal RNA
Source: RNAcentral
GACGAACGCUGGCGGCGUGCUUAACACAUGCAAGUCGAACGCCGAAGCUUGGUGCUUGCACUGGGUGGAUGAGUGGCGAACGGGUGAGUAAUACGUGAGUAACCUGCCCUUGACUCUGGGAUAAGCCUGGGAAACUGGGUCUAAUACUGGAUACGACAUGUCACCGCAUGGUGGCGUGUGGAAAGGGUUUUACUGGUUUUGGAUGGGCUCACGGCCUAUCAGCUUGUUGGUGGGGUAAUGGCUCACCAAGGCGACGACGGGUAGCCGGCCUGAGAGGGUGACCGGCCACACUGGGACUGAGACACGGCCCAGACUCCUACGGGAGGCAGCAGUGGGGAAUAUUGCACAAUGGGCGAAAGCCUGAUGCAGCGACGCCGCGUGAGGGAUGACGGCCUUCGGGUUGUAAACCUCUUUCAGCACGGAAGAAGCGAAAGUGACGGUACGUGCAGAAGAAGCGCCGGCUAACUACGUG